AGCCCAAGUGAAGAGACCACACGAAGAAGUCACACACAGGUGUCUUUCUGAUGGCCCAGCUGCGGUAGCAGCUGCCAGACACGCAAGUGAAGACUCUCCGACCGAGGCCAGCACCCCAGCCACCAAGUCGCCCUCAGCCUUCAGGCUGUCCCAGCCGAGGCCCCAGACACUGUGGAGCAGAGACAAGCUGUCCUGCUGUGCCCUGUCUGCAUUCCUGACCACAGGAUCUGAGAGAUAUCAUUCCAGGCGAGUAGAAUGGCUGCUUUACACCGCUGUGUUCUGGGGUGGGUUUGUUAUGCAGGAGGAGUAACCGAGCCACAGCUGGUAAGGGGCAAUGCUCGGGUUUGAACCCGAGUCCUUCUGGCUUUGAGGCUGCCCCUUAAACCACAUAUAGGCUGGAUGAUCCCCUGGAUGUGGAGGAGUCGGCACUCCCUUUCUUGUGCAAUCGACUCAGUGCAUCGGGGUGACGUGCCCUUUCUCUAGCUGACCUUCUGGAAGCACAUAAACGGAGACAGAAAUGCUUUCUUUUUGUUUUGCCAGUUUAUUGCUGCUGCUGCUGCUGCAGUUCUUAUUUAGUAUAUAUGAAUUCUUGUUCUUAUUUUUUGCUAGUUAGAGUAAGGCUGGGCGUGGUGACCCUCAGCUGUAAUCCCAGCACCUUGGGAGGCCAAGGUGGGCAGAUCAUUUGAAUCCCAGAGUUUGAAACCAGCCUGAGCAUCGUGGUGAAACCCCAUCUCUACAAAACAAAUACAAAAAUUAGCCGGGCACGGUGGCAUGUGCCUGUAGUCCUAGCUACUUGGGAGGCUGAGGUGAGAGGAUGGCUUGAGUCUGGGAGGCGGAGGUUGCAGUGAGCCAAGAUUGCGGCAUUACACUCCAGUCUGGCCGACAGAGUGAGAGCCUAUCUCUCAAAGAAAGAAAGAGAAAGAAAGAAAGAAAGAAAGAAAAAGAAAGAAGGAAGGAAGGAAGGAAGGAAGGAAGGAAGGAAGGAAGGAAAGGAAGGAAGGAAGGAAGGAAGGAAGGAAGGAAGGAAGGAAGGAAGAAAGGUUAGAAUAAAUAGAUAAGAAACACAAAAAAUCCACCUGCCAUCCCCACUACGCAGGAAAAACCUCCACAUAACACUUGAAUCUUGUAGAAUUGUAUCUACCAGGCAUUUAACUCACGCAAUUUCACUGGGCAUCAGUGGGCCAAAAAGGGUGAUGGGGAGAGUGACAAUCUUUAUUUUUUCGUUUCUUUUCUUUUUCUUUUUUUUUUUUUUUGAGAGAGUCUUGCUCUGUUGGCCAGGCUGCAGUGCAGUGGUGCAAUCUUGGUUUACUGAAACCUCUGCCUCCCGAGUUUGAGUGAUUCUCCUGCCUCAGCCUCCAGAGUAGCUGGGAUUACAAGUGAGCACCAUCACGCCUGGCUAAUUUUUGUAUUUUUAGUAGAGAUGGGGUUUCACCAUGUUGGCCAGGCAGAUCUCAAACUCCUGGCCUCAAGUUACCUGCCCGCCUCAGCCUCCCAAAGUGCUGGGAUUUACAGGCGUGAGCCACCAAGCCCGGCUGAGAAUGACAAUUUUCAUAUGGCAAGUGAGUGUAGCUGGCAGGUCCUAUUUUUUGUUCAACAUGGCCCCAAACACAAGAUGACCCCUCUCCAUCCAGGGGCUAUUUGGAUUUGCUAAGUGUUUAUAAUGCACCACGGUUGAGAGGAAAUUUAACAUAUUUUUCAGGAUCAUUUUUGAUUCUGCAUAAAAAGAGACCUUUUUUAUCCCUUCCAAAAAUGGGAUUGAGCUAUGCAGAUGGUUUUGUACCUGACUUUUUCACGUAACAACGUACUUUGAACUGCUUUUGGGCAAGUGGCUUUCUCCUGGCCUUCAUGGGAAGGAAGCGCUCUGGGAGUCCACCUGCGCUCUUGCUGAGUGGCAGUCAAAGUCGACUGGAACUCUACAAGCUGUGCAGUCAGGAUGCUGAGCAAAAGAAGCCAGAUGGGAAGAGCACACACUGUGUGCUUCCCUUUAUAGAAAGUUCAAAACCAGCAAAAGUCAUCUAUGGGGUUAGAAUUCAGGACAGCCAUUAACCUUGGGGGUGGUGGUGGGGAGGAUUUACCAGGAGAGACAUCAAGGGGGCUUCUGGAAUGUCCUGUGUACAUCUGGGUGCUCAUUCCACGAAUGUGUCCACUUGGCGAGAAUUCACUGAGCUCUUUAUGUAUAAUGUGUGUACUUUUCCUUGCAAUUAAAACACACAUACAAACACACGCAGAUGCAUGCGUGCGCGCGCGCGCGCGCACACACACACACACACACACACACACACACACACACACACACACAGUGUUCUUAGAGCGCAGGCUGUCCUGUCUGGAAAUACAUGUUUAAUGCUUUUGCCACAUAUGGGCAGAGGUGAGUGUUGAGAGGACUGGGUAUGAAGUUGGGAACCCAAGUCUGAAUCCUGGUUCAGCCAUCAUUAAAUGUGUGACCUUGGGCAAGUUACUUAACCUCUCUGAGCCUCAGUUUCCUCAUCUGGACUCUGUACCAAGCCCACAAGAUCACAGAAGCAGCCACUGCUCGCCUCUCCAUCUGGCUCUUCCGUUCUUCUCUGGCUGUCUCUCUAAGCCCACACCACACUGGCCACCAUUCUUGUUCCUAUCACAGCAAAGCUCAAUGUGGCCUCAGGGCUUUUGCCCUAGCUAUUCCUGCUGCCUGGAAUUACCCUUUCCCUGAUUUUCUUGUGGUUGGUUCCUUUUCCUCCUUCAUGUCUCAGUUCAAAGGUUACCUUCUCAGAGAGGAGAGCCCCUCACUGACCACUAUCCACACCAGCCAUCAUCAGUUCCAUUCCCUGGCCUCAGUUUCUUCCCAGUGCCUCUUAGGUUCUGAAAUGGUCAUAUUUGUUUCUUGCAUUGUUGUUGCUCUUUACUUGUUAUCUGCUUGGCACUCCCUCUAGACCCAUGGACUCUAGGACAUGAGGAAUCAUGAUUGUCUUGUUCAUUGCUACACCUCCAUCACAUAAAACAAUGUGUAUUUGUUCAAUUAACCAAUCAAUCUAUACAGCGAUCUGAUUCUACUUUAUGGAAUUCUCGGGAAGUUUCGAAAGUACGUUUUAAACAGCCAGGUUUAUAAGAAUGAGGAAACUUUGAAAGCUCUGUUUGAAUGUGGUUAACUCUACUGAGAAGAAUCUAGAUAGGCCCAAGAUGCUUCGUGAGCUGCGUCUUCCAUAAUUUCAUCUACACUGAAAGUCACUAUACCGCUUGCAACCACCCGCCCCCCACCUCCACCUUUUGCUAUUUGCACCUUUUGUUAUUGGCCAUUUGGCUGGAACAAAGUCACUAAUAUUCUUAGUAGUUUAUUUCUAUAUAUAGAGAUUUUCUUUUUUUUUUUUUUUGAGACGGAGUCUUACUCUGUUACCUAGGCUGGAGUGCAGUGGCAUGAUCUCGGCUCACUGCAAUCUCUGUCUCCCAGGUUCAAGAGAUUCUCCUACCUCAGCUUCCUUAGUAGCUGGGAUUAUAGGCAUACACCACCGAGCCCUGCUAAUGUUUGUAUUUUUAGUAGAGAUGGGGUUUCACCAUGUUGGUUAGGCUGGUCUCAAACUCCUGACCUCAGGUAAUCUGCCCACCUUGGCCUCCCAAAGUGUUGGGAUUACAGGUGUGAGCCCCCACGCCUGGCCAACAUGGUUUUAAGAUGGUCAAAAGGUACAGAGUGUACAAAGAGAAGUCUGUCUCCCUCUGACUACUGCUCUAGAGCCGAUUAGUGUUUCCAGGUACCUAGUAAGCGCUUCCAGAACUGUUCUGUGCAGAAACAGGCAUGUGGGCUAUAUCUUCAUCUUUCCCGUUUACACAGAAAGGAUCUAGUUCAAUACACUGCUUUAUAUCUUUGCUUUUUCUUUUUUCUUCUUUAUAAUUGAUCUUGGAGCUGUUUCCAUACCACACAUUGUAUGUGUAUGUUUUAGUUGCACAGAAAGGUGUACGCAUCAAGAGCUCAGAGAGUAACUGGUCUCUCUCUCUCCUUCUCUCUCUCUCUCUUCUUUUAAGACGAAGAUUUGCUCUUGUCACCCAGGGUGGAGUGCAGUGGCCUGAUCUCGGCUCAUUGCAACCUCUGCCUCCCAGGUUCAAGUGAUUCUCCUACCUCAGCCUCUUGAGUAGCUGGCAUUACAGGCGUGCACCACCACGCCCAGCUAAUUUUUGUACUUUUAGUAGAGGCAGGGUUUCACCAUGUUGGCCAGGCUGGUCUCAAACUCCUGACCUCAGGUGAUCUGUCCACCUCUGCCUCCCAAAAUGCUGGGAUUACAGGUGUGAGCCACCGUGUCUGGCCAUUUUUUUUUUUUUUUUUGAGACAGGGUUUUGCUCUGUUACCCAGGCUGGAGUGCAGUGGCAUGAUCUUAGAUCACUGCAGCCUCUAAGUCCCGGGUUCAAGAAAUCCUCCCACUUCAGCCUCCCUACUAGCUGCGACUACAGUCAUUCUUUUUAAAAACCAUAGAAUACUGACGGACACCUCAGGCAGCUCUGGUCUUUUGCUUCUGCAGGCAGUGCUGCAGUGAUGGUCCUUGGAUGCACCUUUGGGCCCAGGAAAAUCACUGAUUCCUUUUGAAUCUGGUAAAGCAACCCGAGAGUUUACCCCUCCCCAACCUCAUCUUCACCCCUCGGCCCAUCCCGCCCUUGCUGGUGUUUGUGUUUUGGCCUUUUAAAGACUUUUUCAAAAUUGACUUUGGCUUCUUGGCCUGAACUCUGAAGUGUUUGAGCUGAUAAGAUAGCAGGCUUGGCUGUGGGGGCCAGGGGUAAACAGUGACCCCGGGGCCCUCAGCCCCAGUAAGGGAGGGGCCACAGCCCCAAGUCUCUCCUGUCUCCAGCUGUGGGAGCAGGCGGUGUGGCUGGAGGAGGAAGCUGAAUUGCGUUGGGCUCCAGAUGGGUUUGGGAACCGGAAGGAAGUGGGAAGCUGGCCCCACACAGACCCACUUCUCUGGGCCUUUGAGAACAGUGCCAAGAGGCGCAACAUGGGCUCAGUAUUUGCCGGGGCCUCUCCUAAACCAAACAGGACGCCACGGGCAAGUUGGAGCAAAGUCCUGGCAAACCUGAAGACACAUCCCGUGGAGCCCCAAGGAGCCGAGGGUCACAGGAGGGGCCCUGCCUCCAAGGCCGUGGCAGACAGAACUGGCACCAUCUCCACACAGCGUCACCGAGUGAUGUCCAGUCGUCUCAGGCCGGGGAUUGUAACUGCCCCGCUCUGAUCUAGGCCACAGAAGUGAACAAAUCAGUUUGGAUUCCCACCCUCUAGAACUUUCUUCAGUUGAGGAGGGAAGAGAGAGGAUAAAUAGGCAAAAACUGGCCAGGGUGCAGGGGACUACAAUGGAGAAUGGCCAGGCUGUGGGGGCAGAGCAGGGGCACUGCUCACCCUGGAGGGGGAAGGCCUCCCCAGUCAUGCCUCGUCCCAGCUUAAAAUGCUUUGGGGCCUGCCAUGGUUUCUCAGGGCUCCUGGGACCAUGGCCUCUGCGUGAUCUUCCCUGCCCACCUCUACCAGCAGGGUCAGUGGUGCCAGCUUGGCAACACUUGGUGCCCAUGUCUACCUGGGGUCCCUGCAUGGCUGCUCCCUCUGCUGGCAGCGCCCUCACCUCCCACCUCCCACUCAGCUCUCAGCUCUCAGCUGAGAUGUCACCUUCUCGUCCAGGAAGCCUUCCUUGAUGUCCCUGGAUGGUCUUGGGGCUAUCACAUGCUCCUGUACAUUCCUCAUCCCUGCUUCAGUCACUCUGGGGUUACUUGUUUGCGGGUGGCCCAAGGUAGCCCAGCAUGGCCAGAACCCAGCCCUGUGGAUGACCCUGCUGGAUUCAAAUGCUAGCUCCGCCUCUUAGCUGUGCAACCUUGGGCCUCAGUUUUGCCAUCUGGAAAAAGGGCAUAGUGAUGGCAUCUACCUCACAGGGUGGUUGUGAGGAAGAAGCAGUUUAAUACAAGUACUUAGAAAGACAUCUGGCACCAACUUUGCACUCAGUAAAUGUUGGCUGUGCCAUUACACUUGUUCUCUCUCCCACAGAACACAGCAGGUGCUCACUUCACAUUUGCAUGCUAAAUCAGUGCAGCCCUUCAAAUAUGCUCAUGAAAAUGAGCAAUGGGGGGGAAGGCUUAGUUAAUUCAGAUGCUCCUCGACUUGGGAUGGGGCUGCAGCCUGAUAAACCCACUGCAAGUUGAAAAUAUCAUUAAGUCAAAAGUGCAUUUAGUGCACCCAACCUACGGAACAUCAUCAUAGCUUCGCCUCGCCUCCCUUAAAGGUGCUCGAAACGUUUACACUCACCUACGUUGGGCAAAAUCAUCUAACACAAAGCCUAUUUUAUAAUAAAGUGUUGAGUAUUUCAUGUAAAAUUAUUGUACUCUGUAUUGCUAAACUGAUAAAAGAUUAAAGUUCAAAAUUCCAAGUAUGAUUUCUAUCAAAUGCCUAUCUCUUUCGUACCAUAAUAAACACGAAAAGUCCUAAAAUGAACCAUUGUUAGUCGAGGAUCAUCUGCAA
Molecule: long non-coding RNA, 6454 nt
Filed under: Homo sapiens (human)
Lineage: Eukaryota; Metazoa; Chordata; Mammalia; Primates; Hominidae
Description: non-protein coding lnc-PTPN1-6:1
Source: RNAcentral